UGAGCAAUCUGCCCUUCUCUUUGGAAUAAGCGUUGGAAACGACGUCUAAUGCCGAAUACGACCUCCUUUCGCAUGAUCGGAGGUGGAAAGCUCCGGCGGAGAAGGAUGAGCUCGCGGCCUAUCAGCUAGUUGGUGUGGGUAAUGGCCCACCAAGGCGACGACGGGUAGCCGGCCUGAGAGGGCGACCGGCCACACUGGGACUGAGACACGGCCCAGACUCCUACGGGAGGNAGCG
This 235-nucleotide ribosomal RNA is filed under the name uncultured bacterium. Its description in RNAcentral is "partial 16S ribosomal RNA". It matches the Rfam family "Bacterial small subunit ribosomal RNA", at positions 118 to 353 of the family's 1533-position model. The record is from RNAcentral.